CUCCUAUCUACUGUCUAGCGAACCCACUGCCAGGGGAACGGGCCUGGUUACGUCUGCGGGGAAAGAAGACCUGAUUGAGCUUGACUCUAGUUCGGCCUUGUGGAGCGACAUGAGAGGUGUAGCAUAAGUGGGAGGGCAACCCGACAAUGAAAUACCACUACUUUCAUGGUCGCUUCACUUACUCGGUGAAGCGGAGUGCGUUCCUUCGGGGACUCCAUUCUAGUGAUAAGCGAGCCCACCUGCGGGUGGCGCUUGCGAUCCGUGCUGAGGACAGUGCCGGAUGGGGAGUUUGACUGGGGGCGGUACAUCUGUCAAAUGAUAACGCAGGUGUCCUAAGGCCAGCUCAGGGAGGACAGAAACCUCCCGUAGAGCAAAAGGGCAAAUGCUGGCUUGAUCCCGAUUUUCAGUACGAAUACGGACUGCGAAAGCACGGCCUAUCGAUCCUUUUGGCUUUAUGAGUUUUAAACAAGAGGUGUCAAGAAAAGUACCACAGGGAUAAC
RNAcentral lists this ribosomal RNA (500 nucleotides) under Branchinella sp. EBU8386. RNAcentral describes it as "eukaryotic LSU rRNA". It matches the Rfam family "Eukaryotic large subunit ribosomal RNA", at positions 2342 to 2830 of the family's 3401-position model. Lineage: Eukaryota; Metazoa; Arthropoda; Branchiopoda; Anostraca; Thamnocephalidae. The record is from RNAcentral.